RNAcentral lists this ribosomal RNA (305 nucleotides) under uncultured bacterium. Its description in RNAcentral is "bacterial SSU rRNA". It matches the Rfam family "Bacterial small subunit ribosomal RNA", at positions 334 to 631 of the family's 1533-position model. The record is from RNAcentral.
CGCUCCUACGGGGGGCAGCAGUAGGGAAUUUUCGUCAAUGGGCGCAAGCCUGAACGAGCAAUGCCGCGUGAACGAGGAAGGUCUUCGGAUCGUAAAGUUCUGUUGAAGGGGAAAAAGAGCGGAGAGAGGAAAUGCUUUCUGAUUGAUAUUACCCUUCGAGGAAGUCACGGCUAACUACGUGCCAGCAGCCGCGGUAAUACGUAGGUGGCGAGCGUUAUCCGGAUUCACUGGGCGUAAAGGGAGCGCAGGCGGCACGGCAAGUCUGAUGUGAAAACCCGGGGCUCAACCCCGGGACUGCAUUGGAA